RNAcentral lists this ribosomal RNA (442 nucleotides) under uncultured bacterium. Its description in RNAcentral is "bacterial SSU rRNA". It matches the Rfam family "Bacterial small subunit ribosomal RNA", at positions 958 to 1398 of the family's 1533-position model. The record is from RNAcentral.
AACGCGAAGAACCUUACCUACCCUUGACAUGCUCGGAAUUUGCCAGAGAUGGUGAAGUGCCUUCGGGAGCCGAGACACAGGUGCUGCAUGGCUGUCGUCAGCUCGUGUCGUGAGAUGUUGGGUUAAGUCCCGUAACGAGCGCAACCCUUGUCCUUAGUUGCCAACAGGUAAAGCUGGGAACUCUAGGGAGACUGCCGGUGAUAAGCCGGAGGAAGGUGGGGAUGACGUCAAGUCCUCAUGGCCCUUACGGGUAGGGCUACACACGUGUUACAAUGGUCAGUACAGAGGGAAGCGAAGCCGCGAGGUGUAGCAAAUCCUAAGAAAGCUGAUCGUAGUCCGGAUUGGAGUCUGCAACUCGACUCCAUGAAGUUGGAAUCGCUAGUAAUCGCGGAUCAGAACGCCGCGGUGAAUACGUUCCCGGGCCUUGUACACACCGAGUAUA